RNAcentral lists this non-coding RNA (46 nucleotides) under Trichobilharzia regenti. The record is from RNAcentral. Lineage: Eukaryota; Metazoa; Platyhelminthes; Trematoda; Strigeidida; Schistosomatidae.
GCACUGAUGAAGAGUCCCAAACUAGGAUGAAACAGCUGUCCAGUAC